AUGGCACAAAAAGCAAAUAUUCAUUUCAGAGCACAAUGAGCAGCCUAACUAGGAGUUAUGUCUUGAAGCAAGCACGAAUAUCUCCUAUACAAUCCUGUGGAGGUUUUUAGUCUCCUAAUUAGAGUUUAUUCAUUACUUAAUCUUGCAAUUCUCCAUAGCUCCAAGAUGGCAUCUGACACCUUGAUUGCUUACUCAGUUCACAUCAUAUGCAAUUAGUCAGCACAGCAAUGUCUGAGUCCAUUAUUCUCUUACAGGUAACUCUUUGCCGGGUGGUAGGAAUUCUUUUGUUUCGACUGGAAAUUUCCUCUUUUCUCUUCCCUUUUACUCAUGGUCUGUAUCAAUAAUAGUACUCAAAAAAAAAAAAAAAAUUCUAAGUUUUGCCAAAUUAUGGCCUUAUGUCUUAUCUUUUCUUCAAUAAACAGAGGUUAAAUCAUAAGGCCUCUGAAGUCCCUCUGAGUCUUUCCACUUUCCUCAAUGUGAAGAUUUAGCUUCAUUGUUCCUUUCUUUCAAACAUGCAGCUUUUUCCUCCUUUUCCAUGCUUUCUUGGAUGUUCUGCUCCCCUCCCUUCCCCCCAAGAAAAAAUAAAAUACAAUUCCUUGUAGUUUUCUAGAUAUCUAGAAUAGAAGACAUUUUAUCCUACUUUUGGGGCAAUAUUUUAGGGAAUUUUUCCUUUAGUGGGGCUUUUGUGAAACUUUCUUUCAUUGCUUCUAAGUUGUGUCUACAGUCAAGCAGAAAACAAAAUGAAUCUCAUUUUUCCUAAGAUAUUUAGGUACCACAGGCAAUUUCUAUGCUAUAUUUGCAUCCAUUCUUUUCCUACAAUUAUUCUUGUUUUCAAGCUACCAUGUACAUAUCCUUGUAUGGUUUCCCAUCCCAUCCCCUCAGCAUCCCUACAGUUUUUCCCUAUAUGAACUUUGGUGUUUAGAUGACCUUCUUCCUACAACUUUUAGAGUGGAAGUCUUGGUUUUUUUGUCUACAUACAUACCAUGUUUAGCUCCAUCAGUUUAGAUGGUCCAUUCAACUUCUUACCCCUCCAUCACAAAAUACAUAAGACACUAUUAAGACAGAGGUAGUGGGGGAUAUAUCUGGACCUGCAUAUGAAAGGUGUGAUGACAAGUACUUUUGUGAUGCUACAUUAAAACAACUAUUAUCUUGGUUUUUGGAUAAGUAGAAAUAAUGGGGCGCUUAUAAAAACAGUAAAGGCCAUGAAAUUAAAAAAAAAAAAAUUCCUAAACUUCUUCUGCAUUUAUACACAUAUUUACCAACAGUUCUCCCAAACUACCCAGAAAAAGAAAUAAAAUUAAUUAUGAAGCUACUAAGCUCUUUAAAAAAGAUUAAAGUUAACACUAUGUGAUAGUGGAAAAUUCUAUGUGGCAGUUAAAAUUAACCAUAGUGCUUGUUCAAUCUUAAAACUAAUAAGUUUAUUUUUAUUAAAUAUAGCUUUUUUAAAAAGCUAAGAAAACACAAUUUCCUUUAAAAACCUUCUGAAUGAAUUCUUCAAAUAGCUAAGGCAAAGUUGAAAUCUGUAAUGAUUAAAAUUCUUAUGUAUGCCAACAAAGGCUACUAACAUUUUAUAGUGCUCUAAGGUUUACAAAGUGCUUUCUUUGCAACUGGUGUAAGAUAGGAAGUGCAACCCAUAUUUUAUAGAUCCAAAUCAACAUAAUUUUAAAUUAAAAUCAACAGUGAAGAGUCUACAAAUUGAAUAAAUCAAUCUCUUU
RNAcentral lists this long non-coding RNA (1715 nucleotides) under Sarcophilus harrisii (Tasmanian devil). Its description in RNAcentral is "lncRNA (ENSSHAG00000031550.1)". The record is from RNAcentral. Lineage: Eukaryota; Metazoa; Chordata; Mammalia; Dasyuromorphia; Dasyuridae.